This is a long non-coding RNA of Peromyscus eremicus (cactus mouse), 264 nucleotides long. RefSeq lists it as uncharacterized. Lineage: Eukaryota; Metazoa; Chordata; Mammalia; Rodentia; Cricetidae. The transcript has 2 exons. The record is from RefSeq and is a predicted model, not a curated record.
CAAUUCUCUGAUGGCUAGGGAAGACGAGCAUGUUUCUCGUGUGUUUGUUGUUGAAGCUGAAGGAUCCUAAUGAUGACUCUCUUUUAGAAUGAUCAAGGAAGGUGUUCUGUCACUCUCUCUGCUUCCUCCUCUGACGGUUGAGAUGUGAGCUCUCAGCUUCUCUGUUCCCGCUGCCAUGCCUGUCACUUGCUGCUCUGUAUGGUCACCAUGAUGGACUUUUAUCUCCCUGGAACUGUGAGACCAAAUAAACUCUUCCUCCUGCAA